AAGUCGUAACAAGGUUUCCGUAGGUGAACCUGCGGAAGGAUCAUUACAUUCAGUAGCCCAGCUACUUGUUUACACCCUUGUUUUUUUGCGUACCUAUCGUUUCCUCGGCGGGCUUGCCUGCCGGUUGGACAACUUUAUAACCUUUUUAAAUCUUCAAUCAGCGUCUGAACAAUAUACAAUAAUUACAACUUUCAACAACGGAUCUCUUGGUUCUG
RNAcentral lists this unclassified non-coding RNA (215 nucleotides) under Phaeosphaeria sp. Its description in RNAcentral is "partial internal transcribed spacer region". The stretch from base 1 to 46 matches the Rfam family "Eukaryotic small subunit ribosomal RNA", at positions 1786 to 1831 of the family's 1831-position model. The record is from RNAcentral. RNAcentral also lists the same sequence under 1 other name. Lineage: Eukaryota; Fungi; Ascomycota; Dothideomycetes; Pleosporales; Phaeosphaeriaceae.